GUGGAUUAGAUACCCGAGUAGUCCUGGCCCUAAACGGUGCGCAUUUGCUGUAAGAGGAAUCGACCCCUUUUGUGGCGAAGCUAACGCGUUAAAUGCGCCGCCUGGGAAGUACGGCCGCAAGGUUAAAACUCAAAGAAAUUGACGGGGGCCUGCACAAGCGGUGGAGUAUGUGGCUUAAUUCGAUGCAACGCGAAGAACCUUACCUGGCCUUGACAUGCAAGUAGUAGAACCCUGAAAGGGGGACGAGGUAGCAAUACCAGCUUGCACAGGUGCUGCACGGUUGUCGACAGCU
Molecule: ribosomal RNA, 292 nt
Filed under: uncultured bacterium
Lineage: Bacteria
Description: partial 16S ribosomal RNA
Rfam family: Bacterial small subunit ribosomal RNA
Source: RNAcentral